GAGUUCGAUCCUGACUCAGGAUGAACGCUAGCCACAUGAUCGUACAGGAAGUGGUGUUUCCAGUAGCAGACGAAUGAGUAGCCAUAAGAACUUGCCCUUGAGAGGGGAACAAUAGUUGGAAACGACCGCUAAUACCCCGUAGGCUAAGGAGCAAAAGGAGGAAUCCACUCAAUGAGGGGCUUGUGUCUAAUUAACUAGUUGGUGAGGCAAUAGCUUACCAAGGCAAUGAUCAAUAGCUAGUCCAAUAGGAUGAUCAGCCACACUGGGACUAAGACACGAACCAGACUCCUAUAAGAGGUAGCAGUGGGGAAUUUUUCGCAAUGGGCGAAAGCCUGAUGGAGUAAUGCCGCAUGGAAGUAGAAGGCCCACGGGUCGUGAACUUCUUUUCCCGAAGAAGAAGCAAUGACAAUAUCUGGGGAAUAAGCAUUGGUUAACUCUGUGCCAGUAGUCGCAGUAAUAUAGAGGAUGCAAAUGUUAUCU
This 480-nucleotide non-coding RNA is filed under the name Gossypium hirsutum (cotton). Its description in RNAcentral is "Bacterial small subunit ribosomal RNA". It matches the Rfam family "Bacterial small subunit ribosomal RNA", at positions 9 to 546 of the family's 1533-position model. The record is from Rfam by way of RNAcentral. Lineage: Eukaryota; Viridiplantae; Streptophyta; Magnoliopsida; Malvales; Malvaceae.